Molecule: transfer RNA, 84 nt
Filed under: Magnaporthiopsis poae ATCC 64411
Lineage: Eukaryota; Fungi; Ascomycota; Sordariomycetes; Magnaporthales; Magnaporthaceae
Description: tRNA-Arg (CCG) (tRNA-Arg-CCG-2-1)
Rfam family: tRNA
About the family: Transfer RNA (tRNA) molecules are approximately 80 nucleotides in length. Their secondary structure includes four short double-helical elements and three loops (D, anti-codon, and T loops). Further hydrogen bonds mediate the characteristic L-shaped molecular structure. tRNAs have two regions of fundamental functional importance: the anti-codon, which is responsible for specific mRNA codon recognition, and the 3' end, to which the tRNAs corresponding amino acid is attached (by aminoacyl-tRNA synthetases). tRNAs cope with the degeneracy of the genetic code in two manners: having more than one tRNA (with a specific anti-codon) for a particular amino acid; and 'wobble' base-pairing, i.e. permitting non-standard base-pairing at the 3rd anti-codon position.
Source: RNAcentral
GCCGCUGUAUAGCAGUGGUUAGCUUGUCGCCCUCCGAUGGUGAUUUGAUGCAAUUAGACCCGGGUUCGAAUCCCGGCAGCGGUG